CCUACGGGAGGCUGCAGUGAGGAAUAUUGGUCAAUGGGCGCAAGCCUGAACCAGCCAUCCCGCGUGAAGGAUGACGGCCCUAUGGGUUGUAAACUUCUUUUCUGUACCAAGAAACAAUCCCUCGAGAGGGGUCUUGACGGUAGUACAGGAAUAAGGACCGGCUAACUCCGUGCCAGCAGCCGCGGUAAUACGGAGGGUCCAAGCGUUAUCCGGAUUUAUUGGGUUUAAAGGGUGCGUAGGCGGAUUUGUAAGUCAGUGGUGAAAUCCUGCAGCUUAACUGUAGAACUGCCAUUGAUACUGCUAAUCUUGAGUAUAGUUGAGGUAGGCGGAAUGAGUAGUGUAGCGGUGAAAUGCUUAGAUAUUACUCAGAACACCGAUUGCGAAGGCAGCUUGCCAAACUAUGACUGACGCUGAUGCACGAAAGCGUGGGGAUCGAACAGGAUUAGAUACCCCAGUAGUC
RNAcentral lists this ribosomal RNA (460 nucleotides) under uncultured Bacteroidota bacterium. Its description in RNAcentral is "bacterial SSU rRNA". It matches the Rfam family "Bacterial small subunit ribosomal RNA", at positions 338 to 795 of the family's 1533-position model. The record is from RNAcentral. Lineage: Bacteria; Pseudomonadati; Bacteroidota.